Oncorhynchus masou masou (cherry salmon) is the source of this 3009-nucleotide long non-coding RNA. RefSeq lists it as uncharacterized. The record is from RefSeq and is a predicted model, not a curated record. The transcript has 3 exons. NCBI's taxonomy places the organism in Eukaryota, Metazoa, Chordata, Actinopteri, Salmoniformes, Salmonidae.
GAAGCAGACUCGGCAGACCAGACCUGGGUUUAGGGUUUGAGAACUGAAUGAGAUAAGUGGACAAUUCUUCCUUAGUUGUUGAUUUUCUUGAAAUCUAAAGAAACAACCUAUAUGUGAGUCAAUUGUAGCUGAACAUGUUAUUACUCCAACCUCCGAAAAGUGACAAGCUGACACGUUUUUAUUUUCGGCAAAACAUUUUUGUUUAUAUAUAGGAGUGCCUUUGAGUUUGCACAUGCGCAGUUUGGAGCGAGACGACCGUUAGAACAGAUUACGUCUUUUUUUGCGCAUACAUUUAGCAAGCCAACGUCACCAGGACAUUGCCUACAAGCGUGAUCAGGAAUUUCUAUUGAAGAAGCAUUUCUACAUAUCUUCAUACUAAACCAUCUUUGGUUCAGCCUUCAUGUGGGAAAAAUUAAUGGUGAAAGAAUAGGGUUUUGGAAUUAACGCGAAAAUAAGGUCUGAGGUUAACACAUGUUUAGGAGAUCUUUUUGUUCUAUGAGAUAACAGCAGUCAGUUAACAUGAACUUUAUGAAUUAUGAAGUCUUUAUGUGAUUAUGUGUUUUUUAUUAUUACAUACAUUCUUCAAAAUUCACAAAAAGUUAAAGAUUAUCUCAUGGAACAAAAUGUAUAAGAUCUAAACCUGUUUACCACAUACCUUUUUUUCAGCAUUUAUCCAAAAACCGUACAAAAACGGCAUUAAUUUUCCUCAUAGGCUUUCUCCAACGAACCAUGCCGUAGUUAGUUCCUACGAAAAGACACCAUUACUAUUUGUCUAUAAGGUAUGUGGUAAACACAGGUUUGGGAGAUAAUCUUCAUCAGUCACUUUUUGUGUAUUUUGAAGAGUUGAAGAAUUUAUGUAAUUUAAAAAACACGUAAAGCACAUAAAGGCUUCAUAAUUCAUAAAGCUCUUGUUAACUGACUGCUAUUAUCUCAUAGAACAAAAUGUAUAAAAUCUCCUAAACUAGUGUUACCCUCAGACCUUAUUUUUGGGCGUUUAUACCAAAACCCCAUUCUUUUGCCAUGAAUCUUUCCCAUAGGGAUGGCUGAAUAUAUAGCUAAUUUCCAGGUUUUAGGGCUUCAAGCUGGCAAACUCUAUUGCAGCCGACAUUAAAGGCGAGUCGAGACUGACUGAUCUACAAAUCACCUGGCUUGCAUCCUAAAUAACUACUCAAUAUUAUUUGUAGAUCAGUCAGUCAGUCACAAUUUACCCAUGCUACAUCAUGGUCUUGAUGCUCUUGAACACGGCCACUGUCUGUGGAGUAUGCAGAUGGCACUCUAGACCUUUUGAAUAUUUUAUUUUAUCGGGAUAUGUCAUCAAAAUAAUAAAUAUAUUAUACUGUAACAGCAUGUGGAUAGCAGCUUCUGACAUGCUGUAAAAUUUCAUCAGCCACUGUAAAUAAUGUAUCUACAGUGUAAGUACCAUAAUCAGGAUUUGAAUAGAGUACCACAGUAUGUCAUAAUACUCAUAAAACCUAACGGUCAAACUUAGAAAUGGUUCCAAUUGAUUUUCAACCAUUAAUUUUCCCCAUGGGGGAUUUUAGAACAACUUCAAAUAAGGGCUGUGUUUCGUGUAGGCUUACCCUGAUGUGACGCUUUGAUAACUGUGUAAAUCUCUCUCAGACAAGGUGACUUUUAUCAGAGAGGAAGAGGAAGAGAGAGGCCCAACUCAGCGGAAAAUCUGUCUAAGCCAUUGGUUGUUUUUUCAUUGUUUUUGCCCACCAAGUAAGGAGUUUUUGUAUGGAAGUCAAUAACAGAGUGUCAAAUUAGUUCAACAACAAAAAUAAUGGUUAUUUGCUACGUGAGAUUUAUUUGAUCUAAUAAAAGUUUUGUAAUGCUUAAGUUGUUACGAGUGUACUGAUAUAAGUAGGACACGUGACAUCCCGGCAUCUUUGAGAUAAAAACACUUUCUAUUGGAGUUAUCUCAAGAUGGCUAUGCAUAUUCAUGUCAUGAGGCUGGUGGCAUAAUAUUUCUCACCAUUGAAUACUGGCGGCUGACGUCAACAAUCCUCAUCGAAUAUUUAAAAAAUAUUACAAUAAUAAGAUGUAUACACCAAUCCAAAGAAAGGAUAGGCGGGACCUAGACAGCCCGCCAUGAUGCUUUGUGGACAACGACUCCCAUUGUUAGGAUGGAGACACCUGUAUCUUGUCAGUAUAUCCAUAAUCUUUGAUUUUAUCAAUAUAUAAACCUGUAGUUAACUAACUAGCUAACUUAGAUGGUGAAGUUAGGUGUUCUGGAUAAUGUUUGUUUGUGAAUGUGUGUAAGGGAUGGGUAGCCUACUUCAAGUACUUAUUGACUUGUAGCUGCCUUAGCUAGCAGUAUUAUUUUGGUCUGGCUUUUUGUGAGGUUUCAGAGAUGGACUGAUUGAUAAUCAUUCUCUCUUGAGUCAACAGUGUGCUUACUUUACUACAGGAAUACAUUGAUCUGUUUGCUGUUACCCUCUGGACAGCAGAUCAUUAGUAUAGCUAGUAGGCAUGGUUAUGUAACCUUAUUUAGUCCUACCUGCUAUGGUGGGUUUUAAAUAAAUUGGUAUUCACACGUCUGUGUGUUUUUUGGUAAAAUUACUGUCAUGUUAUUGAUGCCAAAUUGCAAACCUUAUUUGAACCUUUUCUAUUCCAGAGCCAAUGUGUGUGCCUUAUCUUAUCACCUCUCAACCAGUAGAUGCAGACCCGAAGACAUUCAAGCAGCACUUUGAGAGCAAGCAUUCCAAGUCUCCAAUGGUCCCAGUACUGGUUGAUGUGUAGGUCUAAGUGACCACACACACUGAAAUGGACCUACAGCUGAGUUCCCCAACCAAUAGCUGUCCCUCAACCAUUCAAGACCCCUCCCAUAGUCCCCCCACCCCCAAAUAAAAAUAAAAAAUACAAUUAAUUCCAUUCCCCACCCCCAAGAACCUCUCAAUAUACCAACAACCAAGAGAAUGAACUAAAGAGACAAAGGAAAAAGACAGAAGAAAACAGCAAAUAACAAUGCAAAAAAUAUAUAAUUAAAACAAAAAACAAAAAAAUAUG